GACGAACGCUGGCGGCGUGCUUAACACAUGCAAGUCGAACGGAAAGGCCCUGCUUUUGUGGGGUGCUCGAGUGGCGAACGGGUGAGUAACACGUGAGUAACCUGCCCUUGACUUUGGGAUAACUUCAGGAAACUGGGGCUAAUACCGGAUAGGAGCUCCUGCUGCAUGGUGGGGGUUGGAAAGUUUCGGCGGUUGGGGAUGGACUCGCGGCUUAUCAGCUUGUUGGUGGGGUAGUGGCUUACCAAGGCUUUGACGGGUAGCCGGCCUGAGAGGGUGACCGGCCACAUUGGGACUGAGAUACGGCCCAGACGCCUACGGGAGGCAGCAGUGGGAAAUAUUGCACAAUGGGCGGAAGCCUGAUGCAGCAACGCCGCGUGCGGGAUGACGGCCUUCGGGUUGUAAACCGCUUUCGCCUGUGACGAAGCGUGAGUGACGGUAAUGGGUAAAGAAGCACCGGCUAACUACGUG
RNAcentral lists this ribosomal RNA (468 nucleotides) under uncultured bacterium. Its description in RNAcentral is "partial 16S ribosomal RNA". It matches the Rfam family "Bacterial small subunit ribosomal RNA", at positions 28 to 507 of the family's 1533-position model. The record is from RNAcentral.